AGCAAAAUGAUGAGGAACUGUUUAGCUGAAAUAUUAUGUUGAAUAUAUCAUAUGCCUUCAAAGUUCUCUGAUGCAUUGCU
This is a small nucleolar RNA of Lycium barbarum (goji berry), 80 nucleotides long. RefSeq annotates it as small nucleolar RNA R160. The record is from RefSeq and is a predicted model, not a curated record. NCBI's taxonomy places the organism in Eukaryota, Viridiplantae, Streptophyta, Magnoliopsida, Solanales, Solanaceae. The transcript has a single exon.